CCUACGGGGCGCUGCAGUGGGGAAUAUUGGACAAUGGGCGAAAGCCUGAUCCAGCCAUGCCGCGUGUGUGAAGAAGGCCUUCGGGUUGUAAAGCACUUUCAGUGGGGAAGAAAGCCUUGGGGCUAAUACCCUCGAGGAAGGACAUCACCCACAGAAGAAGCACCGGCUAACUCCGUGCCAAGCAGCCGCGGUAAUACGGAGGGUGCGAGCGUUAAUCGGAAUUACUGGGCGUAAAGCGCGCGUAGGCGGUCUGAUAAGCCGGUUGUGAAAGCCCCGGGCUCAACCUGGGAACGGCAUCCGGAACUGUCAGGCUAGAGUGCAGGAGAGGAAGGUAGAAUUCCCGGUGUAGCGGUGAAAUGCGUAGAGAUCGGGAGGAAUACCAGUGGCGAAGGCGGCCUUCUGGACUGACACUGACGCUGAGGUGCGAAAGCGUGGGUAGCAAACAGGAUUAGAUACCCGUGUAGUC
RNAcentral lists this ribosomal RNA (466 nucleotides) under Vreelandella stevensii. RNAcentral describes it as "partial 16S ribosomal RNA". It matches the Rfam family "Bacterial small subunit ribosomal RNA", at positions 338 to 795 of the family's 1533-position model. Lineage: Bacteria; Pseudomonadati; Pseudomonadota; Gammaproteobacteria; Oceanospirillales; Halomonadaceae. The record is from RNAcentral.